AGUUCUUCGCGUAGGAGGCAAGGUUGGGCACGCUGACCACCCGGCUGGGCACCUCCUCCAUCUUUUUUUUCUGUUUGUAUCAGAGGAAAGUUCUGUGAGUGCUACUACCAAAAGCAAGCGUUACGAAAACCUGGCACAUACAGUGGCCCGUGGAAAACAAAUACCACACAGAAUCUCCCUCGCCUGAUACAAACAGCGCCUGGGUGGUGCCUGCCGUGGACUAUUCCCUGUGGACACCAGCCCAUCAACGAGCUGCAGUGACAUGUAGGAGGACAGAAGCCUGCAGAGCGCGCUGCCGUGACACCGGCCACGGACUAAGAUCUGUGCUCUGCCAUGCACUCCUGCCGUGCUGUCCCUGCCUGGGACCCAGCUGGCCACGGACUGCAUCUGUGAGCCGUUAAACCUCUCUUUGAAGCUGUGGUGUCGGGUGAUCAGCCCAGCCCUGGGAAAAGCUGACUAAUACGCAGGGUAAGAAUCCCAAGUAUUCUUCGCAUCCAGAACUAAAACUCUACUGCAGAAAGUUGAAGAUUAAGGCAGAGAAAGAAAACCCCAGCUAUGCAGAAGACUCCACCUUCCCUCUCUUCUAUGCUUUUGCUUGAUGUUUGUACCAUAGAUAUUGCCUACCUGCACUUAGGCGGGGAGGGUAUUGAGACCCUGCUCCCGUUUCAGCAACGGUAACCACAUGGCUGGUUUGGGUUAUGUAUGCUCUCUUCCACUUUUUUCCCUUGUAUUAUUUUUAAAGCAUGUCAUAUUUCAUUGGUAAGAACCUCAGUAGGUGUUUCUAAGAAAUUAAGGGUGUUUUUUAAAAAAGCAUAACAACAAUGCCUUUCUCACACUUUGUGAGUAAUAAUUAUUACUUUGUAAGUAAUAAUUCCUUAUUAAUGUGAUCUAAUUUUACAUCAGUGGGUGUUGGAAGUAGCUUUGAUAAACUAGAAAACAAAUGCUCAUUUUUACUAGUAGAUCAAUAAGUCAUUAAAAAUUAGUUGAUUCUACAA
Long non-coding RNA from Chinchilla lanigera (long-tailed chinchilla), 995 nucleotides. RefSeq lists it as uncharacterized. Lineage: Eukaryota; Metazoa; Chordata; Mammalia; Rodentia; Chinchillidae. The record is from RefSeq and is a predicted model, not a curated record. The transcript has 3 exons.